Long non-coding RNA from Beta vulgaris subsp. vulgaris (sugar beet), 3948 nucleotides. RefSeq lists it as uncharacterized. NCBI's taxonomy places the organism in Eukaryota, Viridiplantae, Streptophyta, Magnoliopsida, Caryophyllales, Amaranthaceae. The transcript has 2 exons. The record is from RefSeq and is a predicted model, not a curated record.
CUUACUUUUUGUUUAGUUUCUCAGCAUAUAAAUCAAAUAAAUCUUAACUGUAAUGAUGCAAGAAUAAUUUGUUAUUUUCCCUAUUAUAGUCAUUAGUCAACCUUAUGUUUCUAUCUUAACGCUUACGAAUUUAAGGCAAUACAUAUGUGUUCAGUUUGGCAGAUACCAAAGUCCAAAAGAAGAUUAGUUGGGUUUUGAUUGCAAGAGAUAUUGAGGACGAUUUUGUAGCGAAUUCCAGCGUACACUGUGUGGAUUUUCUGAUUUCGCAAUCAAUUGAGAGCUGCAUUUAGUUCAGUUAGCCAAAAUGGUUUCUUUCGAGAUGAAUGACAGAAAAAGGUAGCAACAUUUUACUUUUUCUUGAUAUUUAGAUACUAAAAAUUGUGGUUAUUGACUAAUUAACAUCUUUAUUCGGAGUAUAUGUGAUUCAUAUGAUGUGAAUUAACUUUUUGCUAGACAUAUGUAUGCCACUUCAUACGACUUUGUAAAAGUUAAAUGUGAUUCUAUUACUAGCAUGAUUCUUUCUAUAUUAAACUUGAUACGAUUGUUGUGUUUGUCUUUUCCAUUUGUGUAGUUAUUAGAGUAAUUAGUUAAUUGAUCAUUAAGAAAAAUUUGUGCAAUCCUUCAUGAGGGUUGGGGGGAGUCUUGCCCAACAUUAUUUUUGAUCUCUUUAAUUAUCUAUGUACCUAGUUCCUUUUUCUUCAUGUUUUCCCUUCUAAUUACCAUUAGUAUAGUUUAGUUAUAUUCUUUAUAUGUUUGAUUGUCAUAGGUGUUCUUAAAAUUGUAAAUUAUGUGCUUUAUAUAUAUUCUCUUUGAUUUUAUAUAUUGGUGGUGAGAAGUUUUCUUUCCUUAUAUAUAUAUGUAAUAACCCUGUUUUAAGUGUGUUUAUUAAAUAUUAAUUAUAUUUAUUAAGUUAAUUAUAUUCCGAAAACUUUUAUUUUAUUUAAGUUGUGGAAUUUGUUUUAUAUUAUUGUCGUGUUUGUAAUGUAUUUAUUUAAUUAAUUUUAUGAAAUUAUUAUUAUUAUUAAAAUUAUUUUGGGUCUUAUGUGCGAGGAAAUUGUGCGGUAUUUGGUCAAAUAGGAAGUCAAAGUCAAUUUUUCCAUCAAUUCUUUUCCCCUUUGUCGGUUUAGUGAGAAACAAAAACCCACCAAAGUCAUUCUCUCAUUCCCGUGAAAACAAACCCCAACCCCCGUAAGAAAACCCACGAAACCCCAAAACCCAAAUACUCAAUCUCUCUCGUCCCCUGCUUCUUGCCUUGUCGGAAUCCGGUUGCUCGCCGGCGUUCUUGUUGCUCGCCGGAGUCCUCCUUUCCCUCUGUUCGUGUCGUUUCUGCCGGUGACGUUGUUGUUGCUGCUGUCCUGUUUUUCUCUCUCCUCUAUUGUGUUGUGCGUGUGGUGCUGCUCGCAAGCCACCUCACCACUGUUGUUGUUCGUCGCUGCUGUGUGUGCGGUGCUGCUCGCUAGCCACUGCGACCCUGUGUUUCUCUCUCCUCCCUCGAAACUCUUUUUCUCCUCUCGUUGAUUGUUGUUGCUGCUGUGUUUGUGGCGGUUGUACCGUCGUUCUGGUUUGGCCACCGCGAGUUAUAGCUCGUCGGACUUGCUGAUCCAUUAUUGCUCAUCGAUGCUCGUCGUUGUGCACCGAAGCUUCGAGACCCUCUGUGUUCUUGGCUCUCUUCUUCGCUGCUCACGCAGAGCAGAGGUACACAUCAAUUGUUUUCUUUUGUCUUGAAAUUUCAGAUUAUAGAAUUAGUGAUUCAAGCCUAAUUUAUAUUUAAAUUAUGAUUAGUAGUUUAAUUAAGGAAUAUAGUUUAAUUGAGAGGAGUUAUGGUGGUUCAUCUGGUGGUGGUUGUUGUUAGUUGCGCUAUUAUAUUGUGUUGUUGUUGCUGGGAUUGUUGGUGGUGGUGGUGAUGUGCCACGGUUGUUGAAUGUUGUAUUGUUUGUGUUAUUCUAUCAUUGUGGUUGUGGUGGAGUUGUGAAGUUGUUGCUUAUUGUUGUUGCGCUGUUGUUAUGGUUGGUGUAGUUCUGGUGGCUAUUGUGGAGUAGUUGUGAUGGUUGUGGUAGAAUUGUUAUGUUGUUGUUCAGUUGUUGUUUGUGAUGUUAUUAUGUUGUUGUCGUUGUUGUAUUGUUGUUGAUGUUUGGAAUGGUUGGUGGUGGUAAUGUGUUGUGGUGGUGGGGUUGUUGUGCCACUGCUGUUAGAUGGUGGUUGUCUGCAGUGGGUGUUAUUACGUUGUUAUUGAUGCGUUGCUGUUGUUGUGGCGGUUGUCGUUGUGGUGGUUGAUGUUGUUUUAUGAUAUUAUUCAGUCCUUCUUGUUGCUGCGGAGUUUAUUGGGGGGGUUUGUAACUACUAUUUGUUAUUGUUGUUGUCGUAUCGUUCUUAUUGGAUAGUCGUUGUUGAUGAUGCGAGCGAAGUCAUAAUCUUAGAAUUAGGAGUCUGUUAUAACUAUUGUAGUUGGAGUUGAUAUGUAUGAAGUCGAGUUAUGAGUUAUGGGAUUGACUUCGUUAAUUCCUAUUUACGGGAUUCAGUUUGAUUAGCAUAGUGGUUGCGUUAGAAGAAGUUAAUUAGAAUAGUUAAGAUUGUUUGUUGAUUAUUAUUAUUGUUAUGAGGUGAUUAUUGGAGGAUAACUAGGAAUGGAGUAUCAUUCGGAAUCAUGAAGGAGAUUGUAUUGUUGGAAUUGUUAUUCGGUUGGUUUAAGGACUUGAGUGCAAGAUAGAAAUCAGUUUAUCGAGGUUUAUUUAUGUGUCGAAUAGUUUUUAUAUUCUCAAUAUAUAUUUGUUUGUAGCCAAUUUAUGUUCUUGAUUUUGGUAAGGUUGUGAGUUAUGUUUAGUUGGUUUAGUUAUAUAAUUUAGCGUUAUGAUUAUGGAAUUGAGAUGUUGAAGGUUGAUAAUUUCUAAAUCGGGAAUUAGUUAUGAUUAUGUUUUCUAGUUCAGAUUAGUGUAUGUUUGGUUAUUGAUUAUUGAUGUUACUGUGAGGUGGUUGUUGGAGGAUGGCUAUGUAGACGUAUAUAAUUCAAGAUGAUAUGGGAAAUCAAGUUAUGAUGAUUGGAGGUUUCGUAUAAUUGUUAUAGAGUUAAGGUAACCUUUAUGUUCAGCAAAAUAUAUUUAAAUGCUCCUGUGUGCGUUAUACUAAAUUUUAGAUAUCAUAUAUCGUUUAUAGUAAUGGUCAUGAUUACAGAUGCAUCUCUAUGAGUUAGUUGUGAAUUGUUAUUGGAUUGUUAUAAAAGUAUCCUUUUGUUCAAUUAUUGGAAUUGUUCAAAAAUACUAUGUUUCUUGAAAUAUGAUUUGGUAUGAUAAUGAGGAAAUGAUUCAAAUAUGAGUUAAGACCAGAUAAGGUCGAAUAUGGUGUUAUGUUAUGAGUAUUGAGGAUUCAAGUAUGAAUCAUUAAAUAUCUUAUAUUAUAAAUAUGAAAGUGAGGCAUGAACAUGCACCCGAAUUAGGGCGGGUAGAGUCCCUAACUGUUGCCUUUCAGGAAGGGUGAAUUCCUAACGUUAUAGGACAUGUCCGGUUAAGUCUUGCAAGCAGAACGAUAAAAGGUGGGGUGACGACCCUCAACAGUUUGGAGACAGUUGGUACUGCGUGGUACCCCUCUCCAUUCGCGUUCAUGCCAAACGAUUUGAUUUUGUGAAACUAUAAUAACUGAGUUGAAUGUGAUUAUUUGUUAUCAUAACUAUGUGUUAGUUUUCAAAAUACACCUAAACUUGUAUUUUCUAUUACACAGUGUGUACUCAGCUUUGCUGAUUGGUUUGUCAUUUCUGUGGCCUGUCACAUGGUGGAUGGCAGAGUCAAACUUUGUUGCAGGUUUGGUGUUGUGAGCUCGGAAUUGGAAGUGAAGCAAGAUAAAGAUGUCGUCGUAGCUUAUGGAUUGAGUUUGUUUCUAGAUAGUGUAUUUGAGAACAGUUAUUCAUUGUUCCUUUGUAUAUAACUUUUGGGAAUUAUAGUUGAGUUAUUGGUGUAA